RNAcentral lists this ribosomal RNA (459 nucleotides) under uncultured bacterium. RNAcentral's name for it is "partial 16S ribosomal RNA". It matches the Rfam family "Bacterial small subunit ribosomal RNA", at positions 338 to 795 of the family's 1533-position model. The record is from RNAcentral.
CCUACGGGUGGCAGCAGUGAGGAAUAUUGGUCAAUGGGCGGGAGCCUGAACCAGCCAAGCCGCGUGAGGGAAGAAGGUACAGCGUAUCGUAAACCUCUUUUGUCAGGGAACAAAGGCGGGGACUAGUCCCCGGAUGAGGGUACCUGAAGAAAAAGCAUCGGCUAACUCCGUACCAGCAGCCGCGGUAAUACGGAGGAUGCGAGCGUUAUCCGGAUUUAUUGGGUUUAAAGGGUGCGCAGGCGGCCUGUUAAGUCAGCGGGAAAAGCCCGGGGCUCAACCCCGGCGAGCCGUUGAAACUGGCGGGCUGGAGUUGGAGAGAAGUACGCGGAAUGCGCGGUGUAGCGGUGAAAUGCUGAGAUAUCGCGCAGAACCCCGAUUGCGAAGGCAGCGUACCGGCUCCACACUGACGCUGAGGCACGAAAGCGUGGGUAUCGAACAGGAUUAGAUACCCGAGUAGUC